This 253-nucleotide ribosomal RNA is filed under the name uncultured bacterium. RNAcentral's name for it is "partial 16S ribosomal RNA". It matches the Rfam family "Bacterial small subunit ribosomal RNA", at positions 524 to 776 of the family's 1533-position model. The record is from RNAcentral.
GACGGAAGGUGCAAGCGUUGCUCGGAAUCACUGGGCGUAAAGGGCGCGUAGGCGGCCGUGCAAGUCUGGCGUGAAAGCCCCGGGCUCAGCCCGGGAAGUGCGCUCGAAACUGCGCGGCUUGAGUGCCGGAGGGGAGAGUGGAAUUCCUGGUGUAGCGGUGAAAUGCGUAGAUAUCAGGAGGAAUACCGGUGGCGAAAGCGACUCUCUGGACGGCAACUGACGCUGAGGCACGAAAGCGUGGGGAGCAAACAGG